UUAACUAACAUGACUGUAUUUUUAGAUGUUGAAAAAGAUUAACUACUCUGUUUCUUGCCGGUUCUUCUCGGUAGAAUCUACUUUCCGAACCGGUGGUAGCUUCACUUAAUUGUUAAAUGACGAUUCAAAAGUGCUUGUAGAAGCCUACUUGAAUAAAGUAUAUUUUGAUUUUGA
Long non-coding RNA from Vanessa tameamea, 174 nucleotides. RefSeq lists it as uncharacterized. The record is from RefSeq and is a predicted model, not a curated record. Lineage: Eukaryota; Metazoa; Arthropoda; Insecta; Lepidoptera; Nymphalidae. The transcript has 2 exons.